Molecule: ribosomal RNA, 1143 nt
Filed under: Shewanella indica
Lineage: Bacteria; Pseudomonadati; Pseudomonadota; Gammaproteobacteria; Alteromonadales; Shewanellaceae
Description: bacterial SSU rRNA
Rfam family: Bacterial small subunit ribosomal RNA
Source: RNAcentral
GUCGCCUACACAUGCAGUCGAGCGGUAACAUUUCAAAAGCUUGCUUUUGAAGAUGACGAGCGGCGGACGGGUGAGUAAUGCCUGGGAAUUUGCCCAUUUGUGGGGGAUAACAGUUGGAAACGACUGCUAAUACCGCAUACGCCCUACGGGGGAAAGCAGGGGACCUUCGGGCCUUGCGCUGAUGGAUAAGCCCAGGUGGGAUUAGCUAGUAGGUGGGUAAUGGCUCACCUAGGCAACGAUCCCUAGCUGGUCUGAGAGGAUGAUCAGCCACACUGGGACUGAGACACGGCCCAGACUCCUACGGGAGGCAGCAGUGGGGAAUAUUGCACAAUGGGGGAAACCCUGAUGCAGCCAUGCCGCGUGUGUGAAGAAGGCCUUCGGGUUGUAAAGCACUUUCAGCGAGGAGGAAAGGGUGUAAGUUAAUACCUUACAUCUGUGACGUUACUCGCAGAAGAAGCACCGGCUAACUCCGUGCCAGCAGCCGCGGUAAUACGGAGGGUGCGAGCGUUAAUCGGAAUUACUGGGCGUAAAGCGUGCGCAGGCGGUUUGUUAAGCGAGAUGUGAAAGCCCCGGGCUCAACCUGGGAACCGCAUUUCGAACUGGCAAACUAGAGUCUUGUAGAGGGGGGUAGAAUUCCAGGUGUAGCGGUGAAAUGCGUAGAGAUCUGGAGGAAUACCGGUGGCGAAGGCGGCCCCCUGGACAAAGACUGACGCUCAGGCACGAAAGCGUGGGGAGCAAACAGGAUUAGAUACCCUGGUAGUCCACGCCGUAAACGAUGUCUACUCGGAGUUUGGUGUCUUGAACACUGGGCUCUCAAGCUAACGCAUUAAGUAGACCGCCUGGGGAGUACGGCCGCAAGGUUAAAACUCAAAUGAAUUGACGGGGGGCCCGCACAAGCGGUGGAGCAUGUGGUUUAAUUCGAUGCAACGCGAAGAACCUUACCUACUCUUGACAUCCAGAGAACUUUCCAGAGAUGGAUUGGUGCCUUCGGGAACUCUGAGACAGGUGCUGCAUGGCUGUCGUCAGCUCGUGUUGUGAAAUGUUGGGUUAAGUCCGCAACGAGCGCAACCCUAUCUACUGCCAGGGGUAAUGCCAGUAACUUAGGAGACUGGCGGUGAUAAUCCGGAGGGAAGGGUGGGGACG